Molecule: transfer RNA, 71 nt
Filed under: Loxodonta africana (African savanna elephant)
Lineage: Eukaryota; Metazoa; Chordata; Mammalia; Proboscidea; Elephantidae
Rfam family: tRNA
About the family: Transfer RNA (tRNA) molecules are approximately 80 nucleotides in length. Their secondary structure includes four short double-helical elements and three loops (D, anti-codon, and T loops).
Source: Rfam by way of RNAcentral
UCAUUGAUGGUUCAGUGGUAGAAUUCUCACAUUUUGUGUGGGAGACCCAGGUUUGAGUCCCAGCCAAUGUA